GCUCUCGUGGUGAAAUGGAUAUCACGACGGUCUUCGGAACCGUUGUUCCAGGUUCGAGUCCUGGCGGGAGCACAA
Molecule: transfer RNA, 75 nt
Filed under: Candidatus Vogelbacteria bacterium RIFOXYD1_FULL_44_32
Lineage: Bacteria; Candidatus Vogeliibacteriota
Description: tRNA-Arg
Rfam family: tRNA
About the family: Transfer RNA (tRNA) molecules are approximately 80 nucleotides in length.
Source: RNAcentral